RNAcentral lists this ribosomal RNA (312 nucleotides) under Triticum aestivum (bread wheat). Its description in RNAcentral is "partial small subunit ribosomal RNA". The record is from RNAcentral. Lineage: Eukaryota; Viridiplantae; Streptophyta; Magnoliopsida; Poales; Poaceae.
AUGAGAAAGGUGUCAAUGUAUUUGUUUUGUGCUAAUUGUUUUCUCUUUAUAGUAUUUCUAGUUGCGUAUCAUCAUUUUGGAUGUGAAACAAGAGAUGGUCCUUUUUUUUUUGUAUCACAUAAAAGUGUUGUAUCCUGUAUUCAGCCUACAUUACAGGUUGAACCUGAUGUAUUCCACUUUAUCUUUUGGAGCAUGUAUAGGAAUGGCACUUGCAGUGGAAUGUCCAGCUGCUGCUGUAUUCAACCUCUAGGAAUUAAGCAUCAUCAUUCAGACAGGCGCUUGCAGUGGCAUGUCCAGCUGCUGAAAAUAUGA